UACGGGGGGGGCAAGCGUUGUUCGGAAUUACUGGGCGUAAAGGGCUCGUAGGCGGCCAACUAAGUCAGACGUGAAAUCCCUCGGCUUAACCGGGGAACUGCGUCUGAUACUGGAUGGCUAGAGGUUGGGAGAGGGAUGCGGAAUUCCAGGUGUAGCGGUGAAAUGCGUAGAUAUCUGGAGGAACACCAGUGGCGCAAGCGGCGGCCUGGGUAUGACCUGACACUGAGCCACGACGGCGUGGGGAGCAAACGGG
This 253-nucleotide ribosomal RNA is filed under the name uncultured bacterium. RNAcentral describes it as "partial 16S ribosomal RNA". It matches the Rfam family "Bacterial small subunit ribosomal RNA", at positions 524 to 776 of the family's 1533-position model. The record is from RNAcentral.